UAAUUUUCUUUUGUCAUUUUCUUUUUUCUCUUUCUCUCACUCUUUUCUUACCUCUUCGUAAGCUCUGAUUCUUCUCUUUCACUCUCUUUGUCUCUGUCUCUUUCUCUCAUCUUCUUCUACAUGCCUCAAACAAUUUUUUUCUCAACCACUAUCACCAUAAACGAAUCUGUCUCAACCAACAUCACCAUAACCUAAUAUGUCUCAACCCCAUCAGCUCAAGCGAAAUCUGUCUCCUUUAUUUCCGAAUUUGUGUAAGUUGUUUUCGUUUAGACUCUCUCUAUUCAUCGUUGAUUCUAUCCUUAGAUAUGUUGAUAACAUUCAUUUUGUAUGUGUUUACAUACUGAUUUGCUUUAAUUGGAAUGUAUAUUAUCUGAUAAUCAAACUUAUUUAAUUAGAAUAUAUAUUAUCCGAUAAUCAAACUUUAUAAAUUUAAUUUACAGUCCAUUUAUUUGUGUAUUUAUGCUACUACUGUCCAACUAACAGUUUACAAUCAUUUUGACUAAGCCAAAGUGUACUCACAUAACAAGAAACAUUUGAUGCUUAAUGAACAUAACUUCUUUAUUCUUAAUUUAAACCAAUUUAUUCCAAAAUGUGUUUUAAUAAUAAAACUAUUCAACUAUUUUUGAAUUGUACUAAAUCCAUUAAUUAAUUUUUAAUGUUUUAAACUUUCAUUUACAAAUCGUUAAUGGAUGUAGACACAUUAAAAAUUUGUAAGUUGAGGGAUUACAACAUUAGAAAAAUAAUUAAUGAUUUUUUUUUACAAUUCAAAAAUAGUUGAAGGGUUUUAUCACUAAAAUCUCUUAUUUAAUUUAGAUUUAGGAAAUUAUUUGUCAAAAUAGGAAAAACAAAAAUUGAUUAAAUUUAGGUUUAGUUAUUACUUCAGUGGCUUAGAUCUGUAAAUAAGUUGCAAGUCUUAGGGUUAAUUCCAAAUAGUACUUCAGUUUUAAUAGUAUUGAUUGCCUAGCAAAAUGUGAAAUUCAACUUCUACUAUGAAUUAAAAAGCCAAAGAGAAACAAUGUUCAACACAGUAAGAAAAUGUUCCAUGGAAUCAUUACAUGGCUGAUUUAAAUGAUGUAAUUGGCUAAAAAAUUUAUGCUGAUGUGGACACUGUAAUGAUAAUACAGUAAAAAUUCAAUAAAUUAAUAUUCGAUAAAUUAAUAAACAUCAUAAUAAUAGAUCUUUCUGGUUUCAAGUGGAACCGAAUCAAAAUAUGACACAAAUCGAUAAGAUAGUAAGAUAAUAUUUUUAAAUUUUAUGUGUAUAUAUUUAUUUUCGAUCGUUAAUAAUAUUAUACACAAAAAUGAUAUAUGGUAUAGGAUUCUCUUGGUUUAAAAUUUGCUUGAAACUAAAUCAAAAAUACGUGUAAAUUAAGGUAAUAACCAAAAUCAAUGGUAAUCAUACAUACCAUAGAAAUUGUAUGUAAUCGUGUAAUUUUUUUUUUGAAAUUGGUAUCCAUACCAUUAAGAUUUGCAGAAAUGUCCACUGGUUAGAAAGUAUGGGGAUUAAACCCAUAAGGCCGAUUUGAUUUGUAUGUCCACAAGCCUGAUUUGCUUUUUAAAAAAACUGCAAAAAUAAUUAGUUGGUGACUAAAUUCAUAAACCCGAUUUAAUUUGUAGUGUUAAAUAUAUAGUUGUAAUUAUAUAAGCCAAAAAAUAAAAUUAAAACGUAAUGGAUGUUUUGCCGUUAAUAAGUGUUUAGUUCUCUUAGAAAUAGUAAUGGCAUAUUUGAAAAAAAAAUAGUAUUUCAUUAAAAGUAUACUUAUUACCUAACUAAAUAUAAUUUUGUUUAUAACUAUUUCAUUUAAUACUCUUUCAGUUUCUGAAUAAGUGUCACUUUGACAAUUUUCACAUAGACUAAAAAAAUAGCGGAAAUCUACGUAAAUUAUUAUUAAUUAAAUCUUUCUGACCAAUAAUAUUUGAGAUAAAUAAAAUUAUUUAUAAAACCAAUGCUGGUAAAAGAAUGUACAAAUCCAACUCCAAUAUAUAACAAGAACAAACAUUCUUGGUGAAAGAUUAAACAAAUAUGUAAACAAGUUUUCUUCCCUAUUUGAAUCUUUUCCAAAACAACCAUUUACCAUAAUCAGAGAGUCAGUAUAACACAUUGAGUAGCUGCCGUUGCUUCGCUUCAUCUGAGCGUAGUGAGUAGAUAUCCGAUGGAGCUGUGAUGCCUCCUUGCUGGAUCAGUUUACCAUUCUUCGGUUUGUGUUGAUCGAGAUAAACAACAACGACGCUUAUGUCGUCAUGGAAAUGUCUUCGAACCCCUCUGGCGAUUUUCUUCAUAUCUCCAUAUCUCAUUUCUCUCUUCUUUGCAGCUUCCUCGAGAGCUGCUCUUACAAGUCUUCGUGCGAUUCCCUGUAGACCACAGAGAGUUAGAAAUCUAAAAAGUAGCUGACACAAAAGAGAAAAGCUUUUGAGUUUAGGAUGGCAAACUUACAGCUCUUGGGUGUUUGAGUACAAUCUCUACGGCUGCUUCGUCACUAAGAUGUUCCCAGAGACCAUCUGAUGCAAAUAUGAUAAACAAGUCCUGUGGCUUAAGCUUCCUUACUAUAAUGGAGGGUUCAGCUGUCAUCGCAGGUCUCCUCAAAGGAAUGGGGUUUCCAUGUUGCUGAAAAACCGGAUCCCUGUAAAACUCAGGCUUCUUCAAGUAUACAUCCCCAAUUGAUCUCGAUACCUAUAAAGAAGCACAUAGAUAAACGAUUUAGUUAACUACAUACAACGAGCUCAACAUUCAUGGAAAGGUCAUCAACAACCACAAAACAUAUCUCUUCAUUAUCAUGUAGACCUCUGACUACACUGGGAAAGAAACGUUGCAGGAGCCCCUGUGAAGGAUUCCUGGAACAUUACAAGCCCCCAUUUAUAUCAAACUUAAGUUACUCAAAACAGAGAAUACACACUAUCACACUACACCUUCUAUGCAUAGAAACUAACAUAUCACACAAACAAGCAAGGAAGCAAAAGCUCUAAGUAACAUACCUGAAUAAUGCCUUUAAUCCUCCAAACUCCACGAAUAUACAUAACAAUCUGCGAAUCAUCAGGGUUAAGCGCCUUAACCUCCUUCCUCACUUCUUCAACAGCAACGUUAUGAUCAGUAGAUAACCGUUCAGCUACAGCAACCCCUGAAACAACUCUCCCAAGAACAGCUCUCGAGUCUCCAAGAUUCGCAACAUACAGUGUACCAUUAGUUAUAGCACCAAAGAGACAACAAGUCCCCACAGUAGCCAUCUGCGGUUUCAACGGUAAGGAUCGUUGAACCAUAUGGCAAAAGUCCUCCUCAGUUUCUUUAAACGCUCUUUUAAUCACAUCUGGAGAUAUUCCUCCUUCUUCUUUAGCGAACUCUGCAAAUUUUUUUUUUUUUUGAAUGAAUGUUAAAUUUAUUCAUCAAAAAAACCCUUCUUACAACAAGUGUGACGUUAGUUUAUAUUGUUUAAACUCAUAACUCCUCUGCAAAUUUACAUAACAAAGAUCAGAUUUUUUUUUUUUUUAAGCAAAGUUUGAAUCUUGGAAUGAUGAGAAGAUGUGAUUACUGUGGAUAUGAGGGAAGAGAUGUCUGUUAACGAAUCUAGAAGCUUCGGGUCCGCCAUGGCCGUCGUAGACUCCGACGUAAGUGGCGGAGGAGGAUGUGAAGACCUGACUCUGAUCCUCUAGUCUCGAAUUGGCUUGAACCACCGCGAUCGAAUACUCUCCGCCGGCGUGCGGUCUCAGCUCCGAUUGCCAGAGUAAAUUAUCGCCGCUCGCUCUGCUUCCUGGGCACCACCGCUCGAGAGGCCGUACUAAAGCUCGCAACAUCACUUACUGUUAGGGUUUUAGCUGAGAGUGAAAUUGAAAUUGAAAUUGAAAACGGUUUGAUUAUUCGACGAAUGUUUGAUCUGAUAGGCUUUUUAAGAGAAUGUGUGUUGAGUUGGUGAGAGACAACCGCGUGAAGAAGAAGAUGAAGAAUAGUAUGAGAGAUGAUGACUUUGGACUCUGCCGUUCCUUAUAUACGUCCGUAGACUACGCGUCGUUUUCCUUCUUUGCCGUGCUUUUUCAAUCCUUUUUUAUUUAUUCAACGCGUUCUUUAUUUAUUUUCCACCUCCAUUUGACAACUUUUCACUUGGAAAAAAAAACAAAGUUUUGGGCGGACAAAAAAAAACAUAAACGUCAUUUUUCUUGAUAUUUUAAUAAAUAUCUUUUUUUAGUGUCCGAAUGGAGGAGCGGGACAAGUGCAGAUCUCCUGCACAUGCAGUUCUCCCGCUCUACAUUCACCAUUUUCUAUUUACAAAAGCAGUUCAAACAGGAGAUUUACAUGCAGUUCAAUAUUUUUUGUCUUUUUGUAAAAAAAAGCAGAUCUCACCCGCCAACAUUUGGUGGUGUUGAUCUGCUUUUUUUUUUGAUCAAUAAAUAACUUUGUUGCAAUACAUAACUUUAAAAAUAUAUUUAUCUACUUUUAUGAAUACUAUAUUUUUAUUUUAUUUUAUUUACAACUUUAACAAUACAAAAUUAUCAUUCUCUACUUAUUAUUUUUUAUCAUAUAAUUUUUAAUUUUUAUAAAUAAGAAAAUAAAAGAAAUAUAAAUAUCUUAUAAAACAUGUACAGGCAUUUCGGCCGAUCUUAUAACAUCUAAGAUAUUUGUUUAGAUAUCUAAGUGUCAUUUUUAUUGUUUUAAUAUAUGAUCUAUAGUUUUAAACUGAUUUUGUCAUUCAUAAGUUAUAAUAAAUUAUUUGAUCUGGUUUUCUCCUGCAUGAUCCGCUUGAUCUGCACUUGUCCCGCUUGAUCUGCACUUGUCCUGCUUGAUCUGCAUGAUCUGUUUGAUCUGUCCUGUUUGAACUGCUUUUACCAUUCGAAGCCUAAGAAGUGGUCCAACCAAAAUAUCUACUCUGAUUCAUCAUCAAUUUUCCAUCUGCAAAUCAACAGCUGCUAGUAUAUAUUGUACAGAAAUAUAUACAUAUCUAUAAUGUUUUAUUUUAGAGUAACAUACUUACGUUUAUAUGAAAUUUACGCCGUCAAUGUUCAAAGGUUAUUUAUAUAAAAAACAUGCCUUUGUAAAACUAAAUUCAUGUCUAAGAGUGUAUGUAAAUAAUCAAAGUUAAAUCGUGGAAGAAACUACAUUAAAUUAAUUAGCGAGCAUAUGAAUUGUUCAGGAGGAUAAGAGAUUCAAAGGCGUGUCUCAUUGACUUAUUUCAUUACAAGUUACAGGCAGUUCUAUAAGUAAAUUAUAUUUUGUAUUCUUUUGUCAACCAAUGGAUAUUAGUAACAUUCAAUAUAUUAGUAGGGAAAUGUUGUAAUAAGAGAAUGAGUAACGGUGAGUAAAGCUGUAACCAACGUGUAAGCUGAUAUAUACUUGCAUGUCGGCGAAUAGAAAUGGAUAACUAUUGAAUUCAUUUUCUGGCUAAUCUACUCAUCUUAGGGUUGUAUUUAGACUAAUCUACAUUUGGUUCACCACGUUAUAUACUGUUUCCAGCAUACUGGUCAAACGCUUCGUGUGUUUGUUCUAUAGAAUUGAUCAAACUUGUGAAUGUAGUUGUACUGAUUAGUGUUAAUUUAAUAGCAAGUUGGACCAUUUAUUCUAUUAAUUACAAAGAAGUUGUCUCAUUGUAAUUAAGAAACUGACGUGGACGGACAGUAUGAUGUGGGUAUAUUAAUUAAUCUUGUUUUAUCAUCACGUUAGAGCUUCCAGAAUAAGAAAGAUAUUAUAGCUUCUGGUCAAACUCUAUGUUUGUCAUGUAGAACUGAUCAAAAUAGUGAAUUUAUAGAGGUUAUAUUGUACUUUAACUAUUUUUAUUGAUCAUUAAUUUAUAGAGAUUCUAUUGUAUUUUAAUUACUUUUAUAUAUUUCCAAGCAUUUUGAAUAACUUAAGAACAUCUUAUAUAUUUUGUAUAUUAUUUUAGAUAUUAAAUAUGAAAAUAAUUAAUAUAUGUAAGUAUAUCUGGUUCGAAUAUUUUUGGAUACCCAAAAUAUUUUGUUUUGGAUCAGGUUUCGUUCUGGUUUUCUAGAUACUAAAAUUUUGAACAUAUUCGAAUAUCUAACCAAUUUUGUUAAAGUUCAGUACUACUUUUUCAGAUUAGAUUUGGUUCAGUUUUUUCCCAAACCUAUAUUUUUUAUUGUAACCAAAUUUUAAUCGAAAGUGAUGAUAGUUCAUAUUGAUUCUGGGUAUGCCACAAUUUUUAAACCAAAACACAUUAUUCUAUAUACGUAUCCAUUUAGUUAAUCAUUAAAAUUUGUUCUAUGCCCAUUUAAGGAAAACAGUGGGCCGAAAACAAAAGAAAACUUUAUAUUUUCAGAUUUUCAAUCGACACUUCUAAAUUAUCCUAUGUCGGUGUCGUGAUGAAAAAAAGAGGGAUAGGGUUAGGAAAGCAAAUUUGUUGUGCAAUCCAUAUUAUCGCUAGAUGAUUUCAAUAACAUCUACAUAAAUCUGCAUUGUAUCGAUCUCUUGUAAGACUUUUGAAAAAUAUUAAUUAAUAAAAUCUUAUAGUUGCUAUAGUAAUCAAUUUUAUUUCAAUUAAUAUAUAUGGGAUUACACUAAUCACAUAAAUCAAAACAAUACUUCUUGUUAAUUUGUAAUAUUUUUAUGGUAAAUAAAUCAAAAUAAUCAUUUUAUUUGUUUUAUAUGAUAUAUAAUUAAAUUUCAAUGGUAUUGGCAUAGAUAUAUCGUAUAUUCUAAUAUAAAUAUUUAUUAUUAAGAAUUCCUACUCAUAUGGUUUUAUUAAGAUUUGUAUAUUUGUUGUAACAAAAAAUCUAAACCAUUAAUUUCAAAAUUUUCAAUGUGAUAUUUUCUAAUGCAAAUUUAAAAAUUAAAAUAUUUAUGUAUUUUUAUAUUGUACAUAGUUUAAUUUAACUUAUAAUAUAUAUAUAUAUAUAUAUAAUAUUAAGAUCACAAUAAUCUUUCAAUGCAAAAUUUUAAAUUAACAUAUUUCUAUAUUUUUAUAUAGUAGAUAAUUUAAUUUAAAUGAUUUAUAUAAUAUGAAUAUCUAUUAAUGAGAGUUCAUAUUCAUACGAUUUACAAAAAAACAAAUAAACCAUUGAUCACAAAAACAAAAAAACUUUUAGUUACAUCAAUUCUUCAAAUUUGUUCAUUCAGCAACGAAAUAUUUCUUGACGUUAAUGAAUUCAGAAGUCAUUGAUUACAAGUUUAUGGUAAUCAAGCGAGUGUGAAUGAGGGGAUACUGUCUGUUCACUGAAGGGAUCAUUUCUCGUAGUGUGUGUAUUACGACAUUGUAAGUGGAACAUGCACUGCCUCAACGGUACAACCAUGUGUUCACUAAAGAGAAGUUCGAGACAGCACCGGUUCGCACUCAGGUAUCUGAGUUAAGGGAGUUUAUGGUCGGUCUGGGUUUUGCUUGAAUAUUAAGUCUUCUUUUAACUUGGCUUAUUCAAAUUAUAACAGAAGAGACUUUGUUUGUUUGUGGUUCUGUCUCUACCCCUCAAUGUUUUUUUGUUUGAAGGUUCUUUUGUUUUUUGUUUGUUUUGAUCUUGUUCAUCUUGUCUUAAUGGGUUGGUUCUUAUUUCUCACACUUGGGGGAGAUGAAAAUGUGAACCUAUAUCAAUAUAUCAUCAUGGAUAGAAAAAUUUACCGUCCUAAUUUUGGAGUAUGAUUUAUAUAUAUGAUUCAACAUUUUUGGUCUUUUUUCUUU
RNAcentral lists this long non-coding RNA (7606 nucleotides) under Brassica rapa (field mustard). RNAcentral describes it as "long non-coding RNA (BRAP_LNC002334)". Lineage: Eukaryota; Viridiplantae; Streptophyta; Magnoliopsida; Brassicales; Brassicaceae. The record is from RNAcentral.